GUGAAUCAUCGAAUUUUUGAACGCAAAUUGCGCUUCCUGGCAUCCCGGGAAGUAUGCCUGUUUGAGGGUCAGUAUUAAUAAAAAAUCGGUUUAGUUACAAAUUGUGACGUUUCCGGAGUUUGGGCUAUCUUAACAUUUUUGGUAAGAAGCUUAAAAAUGACCUUUUUUGCGCAUUUUUUAAAGUAACUUAAUUUUUUUUUUUUCUUCUUUUUUUAUUGCAAAAAUUUUUUUAA
Molecule: unclassified non-coding RNA, 233 nt
Filed under: Glomeraceae sp.
Lineage: Eukaryota; Fungi; Glomeromycota; Glomeromycetes; Glomerales; Glomeraceae
Description: partial contains 5.8S ribosomal RNA and internal transcribed spacer 2
Rfam family: 5.8S ribosomal RNA (bases 1-71)
Source: RNAcentral